Molecule: long non-coding RNA, 1306 nt
Organism: Mauremys reevesii (Reeves's turtle)
Lineage: Eukaryota; Metazoa; Chordata; Testudines; Geoemydidae
Exons: 3
Source: RefSeq, a predicted model, not a curated record
CUAGUCGCGGCGCCCAACCUCAGCCUCCUGCUACUGCAGCCGCCGCUACUGGGAAAGGAGGGGGGGGUGUUUGCCGAACCCGGCGCGCUGGCUGAUGGGUAAAGUGCAGGUGGUGUCCCACAAUGCUCAUCAGUGACCGUUCUGGAGAUCAUUCUCAACUUUGCUUCACUGGAGCCAGAUACACAGGAAACAGCCCCUCCCCUGCUAAAGCCCCGGGAAUGUUUGAUUUCCCAUUUCCUGUUUGAUUAGCAUUGGGAGCAUGCCAGCUUGAGCACAGCUGAUCAUGGAGACUACAAGCCCCAAACACGCUCCAGCCUGGUCUACACAGGAGGUGGUAGAUCUCAUCGCUGUGUGGGGAGGAGAGUCUGUGCAGGCAGAGCUCUGAUCUAGCAGAAGAAACGCUGACAUCUAUGCAAAGAUCGCUCAUGGAAUGGAGGAGAAGGGCUACAUGAGGGACACACAGCAGUGCCGUGUGAAAAUAAAAGAACUUUGCCAAGCAUACCAGAAAGCAAGGGAGGCAAACAGUCAUUCUGGUGCGGAACCCCACACAUGCUGGUUCUACAAACAAGCUACGUGCAACUCUUGGGGGUGACCCUACCAGCACCCCCACAAGCAACGUGGACACCUCACAGGUGUGUGAGUCUAGGGACAACAGGAAGGACGAUAUGGUGGAUGAGGAAGAGGAGGAGGAGAAGAAUGGGAGACAGGUGAGCGAUGGAUCCAUUCUCCCCAAGAGCCAGGAAAUAUUUUUAACCCUGGAGCCCUGUGGGUCACAGGACAUCAUGGUGGCCGACCGUGAUGUCAGGGAAGGCACCUCUGCUGGAAAUGUGUCCUUUAGUGUGUCUUCAACACCUGAAAGCAGACUUUCGCUGAUUAGAAGGAGGAGAAAGAACACAGGGGGACAUGUUCACCGAGAUAAUGAACGCCUAUGGGAGAGCUGACACAGAGCUGAAAGCGUGGAGAAUUUCACUGUUCGAGAAGUUAGACAUGGACAUGGAGAGCAGGAAUGCUUCCAGUGAGCAAGAGCAUGCGACACAGAAUAAGAGCUUUGGAUUAUGAGGGACCAAGCAGGCUUGUUGAGGCAGCUGGUUGAACUGCAGGAACAGAAGCAGGAGGGUAGAGUCCCUGGUGGACAGCCAGCCAGCAUCCCCUGGAGCAGAAUAACCCUUCCCCAAGCAUUCCAUGAGGCAUGAGUGAAAAGUCCAUUAUCCUUUUCACUUAACUCAGGGGGAGGGUACAAGGAACACAAGGCACCCAUUCACAGACCUUUGCUGGUCUGGAAUGUGGUGUUAUGUUACACAGGUGA